GUUGACAAUGUGGAGGAUAUGAUGCCAGCAGCCACUGUGAUAGAGAGCAGCAGAGAUGUUACUGGAUGUUCCCGUGAAAUAAAACCACAGACAAGGUCUGUUUGAUUUGGAGAGGACGAGACCUCUGGAUAAUUCAACUCCUGGUUAAAGCCUCCUGAACGCUGGAUCUUAAGUUAUGCUAAGAAAGGAGGAGAAUUUGGUUCCCGAUAGAAUUUCCUGA
Long non-coding RNA from Epinephelus moara (kelp grouper), 220 nucleotides. RefSeq lists it as uncharacterized. NCBI's taxonomy places the organism in Eukaryota, Metazoa, Chordata, Actinopteri, Perciformes, Serranidae. The record is from RefSeq and is a predicted model, not a curated record. The transcript is spliced from 3 exons.